Molecule: ribosomal RNA, 497 nt
Filed under: uncultured bacterium
Lineage: Bacteria
Description: partial 16S ribosomal RNA
Rfam family: Bacterial small subunit ribosomal RNA
Source: RNAcentral
GAUGAACGCUGGCGGCGUGCCUAAUACAUGCAAGUCGAGCGAACAGACGAGGAGCUUGCUCCUCUGACGUUAGCGGCGGACGGGUGAGUAACACGUGGAUAACCUACCUAUAAGACUGGGAUAACUUCGGGAAACCGGAGCUAAUACCGGAUAAUAUAUUGAACCGCAUGGUUCUAUAGUGAAAGACGGUUUUGCUGUCACUUAUAGAUGGAUCCGCGCCGCAUUAGCUAGUUGGUAAGGUAACGGCUUACCAAGGCAACGAUGCGUAGCCGACCUGAGAGGGUGAUCGGCCACACUGGAACUGAGACACGGUCCAGACUCCUACGGGAGGCAGCAGUAGGGAAUCUUCCGCAAUGGGCGAAGGCUUGACGGAGCAACGCCGCGUGAGUGAUGAAGGUCUUCGGAUCGUAAAACUCUGUUAUUAGGGAAGAACAAAUGUGUAAGUAACUAUGCACGUCUUGACGGUACCUAAUCAGAAAGCCACGGCUAACUACGUG